CCUACGGGAGGCAGCAGUGGGGAAUAUUGCACAAUGGGCGGAAGCCUGAUGCAGCGACGCCGCGUGAGGGAUGACGGCCUUCGGGUUGUAAACCUCUUUCAGCGGGGACGAAGCGAGAGUGACGGUACCUGCAGAAGAAGCACCGGCCAACUACGUGCCAGCAGCCGCGGUAAU
This 174-nucleotide ribosomal RNA is filed under the name uncultured bacterium. RNAcentral describes it as "partial 16S ribosomal RNA". It matches the Rfam family "Bacterial small subunit ribosomal RNA", at positions 338 to 524 of the family's 1533-position model. The record is from RNAcentral.